GUCUACGGCCAUGCCACCCUGAACAAGCCCUGUGUCUGACCUCGGAAACUAAGCAGGGUCAGGCCUGGUUAGUACUUAGAUGGGAGACCACCUAGGAAGACCAGGUGUUGUAGGCA
Molecule: ribosomal RNA, 116 nt
Filed under: Pteropus alecto (black flying fox)
Lineage: Eukaryota; Metazoa; Chordata; Mammalia; Chiroptera; Pteropodidae
Source: RNAcentral